UGGGGAAUAUUGGACAAUGGGCGAAAGCCUGAUCCAGCCAUGCCGCGUGUGUGAAGAAGGUCUUCGGAUUGUAAAGCACUUUAAGUUGGGAGGAAGGGCAGUUACCUAAUACGUAUCUGUUUUGACGUUACCGACAGAAUAAGCACCGGCUAACUCUGUGCCAGCAGCCGCGGUAAUACAGAGGGUGCAAGCGUUAAUCGGAAUUACUGGGCGUAAAGCGCGCGUAGGUGGUUUGUUAAGUUGGAUGUGAAAUCCCCGGGCUCAACCUGGGAACUGCAUUCAAAACUGACAAGCUAGAGUAUGGUAGAGGGUGGUGGAAUUUCCUGUGUAGCGGUGAAAUGCGUAGAUAUAGGAAGGAACACCUGAGGUGAAGACGGGUUGCUGGGCUGACACUGACGCUGAGGCGCGAAAGCCAGGGGAGCAAACGGGAUUAGAUACCCCCGUAGUCCCUGAGCGGGCUGGCAAGGCGCAU
RNAcentral lists this ribosomal RNA (472 nucleotides) under uncultured bacterium. RNAcentral describes it as "bacterial SSU rRNA". It matches the Rfam family "Bacterial small subunit ribosomal RNA", at positions 355 to 825 of the family's 1533-position model. The record is from RNAcentral.